GGAGAGUUGGCUGAGUGGUCGAAGGCGCACGACUGGAAAUCGUGUGUGCGUGAUGAGCGUACCCAGGGUUCAAAUCCCUGACUCUCCGCCA
This 91-nucleotide transfer RNA is filed under the name Clostridiales bacterium. Its description in RNAcentral is "tRNA-Ser". It matches the Rfam family "tRNA". Rfam says of the family: Transfer RNA (tRNA) molecules are approximately 80 nucleotides in length. Their secondary structure includes four short double-helical elements and three loops (D, anti-codon, and T loops). Further hydrogen bonds mediate the characteristic L-shaped molecular structure. tRNAs have two regions of fundamental functional importance: the anti-codon, which is responsible for specific mRNA codon recognition, and the 3' end, to which the tRNAs corresponding amino acid is attached (by aminoacyl-tRNA synthetases). tRNAs cope with the degeneracy of the genetic code in two manners: having more than one tRNA (with a specific anti-codon) for a particular amino acid; and 'wobble' base-pairing, i.e. permitting non-standard base-pairing at the 3rd anti-codon position. RNAcentral also lists the same sequence under 5 other names. The record is from RNAcentral. Lineage: Bacteria; Bacillati; Bacillota; Clostridia; Eubacteriales.